AUUGAACGCUGGCGGCAUGCCUUACACAUGCAAGUCGAACGGUAACGGGCCUUCGGGUGCCGACGAGUGGCGAACGGGUGAGUAAUACAUCGGAACGUGCCCGAUCGUGGGGGAUAACGAGGCGAAAGCUUUGCUAAUACCGCAUACGAUCUACGGAUGAAAGCAGGGGACCGCAAGGCCUUGCGCGGACGGAGCGGCCGAUGGCAGAUUAGGUAGUUGGUGGGAUAAAAGCUUACCAAGCCGACGAUCUGUAGCUGGUCUGAGAGGAUGAUCAGCCACACUGGGACUGAGACACGGCCCAGACUCCUACGGGAGGCAGCAGUGGGGAAUUUUGGACAAUGGGCGCAAGCCCGAUCCAGCCAUGCCGCGUGCAGGAUGAAGGCCUUCGGGUUGUAAACUGCUUUUGUACGGAACGAAAAGCCUUCUUUUAAUACAGGAGGGUCAUGACGGUACCGUAAGAAUAAGCACCGGCUAACUACGUG
This 482-nucleotide ribosomal RNA is filed under the name uncultured bacterium. RNAcentral's name for it is "partial 16S ribosomal RNA". It matches the Rfam family "Bacterial small subunit ribosomal RNA", at positions 30 to 507 of the family's 1533-position model. The record is from RNAcentral.